RNAcentral lists this ribosomal RNA (538 nucleotides) under Zoosphaerium neptunus. Its description in RNAcentral is "partial 16S ribosomal RNA". It matches the Rfam family "Bacterial large subunit ribosomal RNA", at positions 1797 to 2619 of the family's 2925-position model. The record is from RNAcentral. Lineage: Eukaryota; Metazoa; Arthropoda; Diplopoda; Sphaerotheriida; Sphaerotheriidae.
CGCCUGUUUAUCAAAAACAUUGUUUUUUGUUAUGAUUUAAAAAAUAGGGCCUGCUCACUGAGUAAUUAAAGAGCUGCAAUAAUUUAAUUGUACAAAGGUAGCAUAAUCAUUUGCCUUUUAAUUGAAGGCUGGAAUGAAGGGUAUAACGAGAAAAGUAUUUUCUUUAUUUAAAAAAUUAAAUUUUAUUUUUUUGUGAAAAAGCAAAAAUGUAGUUAAAAGACGAGAAGACCCUAUUGAGCUUUAUUAUUGUUGAUUUAUGAUAGGAUUAUAUUUAUAUGUCAGUUUUAAUUUUACUGGGGCGGUAGAAGGAAAAUGAAUAUCUCUUUUUUAAAAAUUUAUUUGAGAAUAUUAAGUUAUCCAAUUUGUUUGAAAGAUUAAAAAGUUACCUUAGGGAUAACAGCGUAAUUUUUUUAUAGAGUUCUUAUCGAUAAAGAAGUUUGCGACCUCGAUGUUGGAUUAGGAAUUCUAAUUGGCGUAUAAGUUGAUUUAGACAGUCUGUUCGACUAUUAAUUUCCUACAUGAUCUGAGUUCAGACCGG